GAAGCUGACCAGACAGUCGCCGCUUCGUCGUCGUCCUUUCGGGGAGACGGGCGGAGGGGAGGAAAGUCCGGGCUCCAUAGGGCAGGGUGCCAGGUAACGCCUGGGGGGGAAACCCACGACCAGUGCAACAGAGAGCAAACCGCCGAUGGCCCACUUAAGUGGGAUCAGGUAAGGGUGAAAGGGUGCGGUAAGAGCGCACCGCGCGGCUGGUAACAGUCCGUGGCACGGUAAACUCCACCCGGAGCAAGGCCAAAUAGGGGUUCAUAAGGUACGGCCCGUACUGAACCCGGGUAGGCUGCUUGAGCCAGUGAGCGAUUGCUGGCCUAGAUGAAUGACUGUCCACGACAGAACCCGGCUUAUCGGUCAGUUUCACUU
RNAcentral lists this RNase P RNA (375 nucleotides) under Salmonella enterica. RNAcentral describes it as "RNase P RNA component class A". It matches the Rfam family "Bacterial RNase P class A". From Rfam's summary of the family: Ribonuclease P (RNase P) is a ubiquitous endoribonuclease, found in archaea, bacteria and eukarya as well as chloroplasts and mitochondria. Its best characterised activity is the generation of mature 5'-ends of tRNAs by cleaving the 5'-leader elements of precursor-tRNAs. Cellular RNase Ps are ribonucleoproteins. Lineage: Bacteria; Pseudomonadati; Pseudomonadota; Gammaproteobacteria; Enterobacterales; Enterobacteriaceae. The record is from RNAcentral.